Long non-coding RNA from Aedes albopictus (Asian tiger mosquito), 10197 nucleotides. RefSeq lists it as uncharacterized. The transcript has 2 exons. The record is from RefSeq and is a predicted model, not a curated record. NCBI's taxonomy places the organism in Eukaryota, Metazoa, Arthropoda, Insecta, Diptera, Culicidae.
UCACCGUGAGAACCACACAGCAAAAAAUAAUGUAAAACGCCCCGACGUAAUCAUGCUGAUGUACUAAUAACAGCGACGUAACCGUGAUUUUCAUAUGCAAAAUUACACAGGUUGGAUGCUAAUCUACAUCUUUCUUCAAAUUACACAAAUAAAUUUUCACAAGUUUGCAUUACGCCAUACCUGUGUAAUAUUCACAUGAAGAGAACGUGAAUAUUACACAGAAACAGCUGCAACCAAGUGGUUCCAUUCAAUAAUGUGUGAAAUUACACAGAAGCAAUGUCAUAUUGCUCUUUUUCGAUGCGAUAUUAAAUCUAGCAACACUGGACUACUUUGUUGUUAUCGGCCCGGUCGGCAAAGCGAGCAGCCAUCUUGAAGUAGUCUUUCGUCGAUAGAAGUUGAACUUUUAUUUUGUUGCAUUCUAAAGCAUAAAGGCAAGCUUUAUUCAAAAGACUAAUAUUUUAAUUUAACUAAUUAAACAGUUUUCAUUUCAGCGGUGGUAGUCGAUGCCGAUAUGCCUCCAGUGUUUAAUAAACAUCAAUCGUUAGCUUCGAAAUCGUACCACUGUAGCUGCCGCAGCUUAAUUUUCCUGGACAGUAUGGACCAGAUACCAUACAAGUGCUCAGACUGCACACCGGGAGACAAUCUGCAGGUGGCGAAUUACGGGUACUACAAGGUGGGCAAACACUAAGGUGGACGACGGAUUCGAUUCCAACGAGAGGAGUGCAAUGUGUCCUCGCACGAAACCACAUACAAUUUUGAAAACGCCAUGAACAAAACGGAGCGAGUGCGGCAUAUUGAACCCACGAGCUUAUCAGAGAAUUUGGAGUCAAGUACGCCGACCCGGCUGGAUUCCAAGUUAGUGCCCCAGCCAACUUUUGCAUUUUCCCCGGGUCAAAAAUCUGCCAGGAAAAGCUAUCCGUGCCCUUAACCACCAACGCAAGCCGUGACUGUCAAGUAUGAUCCCUGCAAAUACAUGAUUCCUACAUUUGCCACCGACACGGCAUCCUGAGGUCGUCAAAGCCCAUUUGGUUUAGAAGCUGGUAUUGACUGGUAAACCCCAACCGUGGUCCGUCGUAGUGAUCUGUUCAAGCAUGAAGGCAUGGGAGAAGUUGAUUUGCUCGAGGUUCAUCAGGAUUCUGGUAAGAAUUACUACUUAUUCUGGGUUCGAAGAAGCGGGUAUUGAGAAACACAUCUGCACAUAAAUUAUUUUUUAUCUGGCCUACAAUCUCACUAGUACAAAGCCUGUUCGUUCAGCUCAGUGUUCUUUAAACAUUUCCUCAGUUACAUUGUUACACAUAUUAGUUUUCCUUUUCCAUGGUUGCUCGUGGCUUCAUAGCUCGGCCUUCGUCGAAAUCGUCGCGUUGUCGAAAUCGGUGUAGUGCAGUGAGCUGGGGAGUUACAAGAGCAAUGCAACGUUCACUCUGAUCUGCCCAUGGAUCACAAAUUCCGUGUUCCGAUCAUCAGGAACAACGGGAAACUUUGGAGUAGGAUUGAAAACAACCGCAACUGCAGCAUUUUGCCGGGUAUUGUUUCAUCCGUUACUCCCUCCAAGAGUUACAAGACUCUUCUCCACAAUUUCCCCGGGAAUCUCUCCGGCAAUUAUUCAAGAACUUCUCCAGCAGUUCCACCUGACUACCUCCAGGAGUUAUGGGAAUUUUCUCCAGAAUUUCUUCAUGGAUUUCCAGGAAAUUCUCCCCCAGCAGUUCCUCAGGAAUCUCUCGAAUAUAUUUUCAUGAAUUUUUCCGAAAGCAGUAGUUAUAAAUCCGAUGCGUUUUUUCCUUACAAAGCACAAGCUUUCCGCAUAAAACAGUGUUUACCAGACUGCAUUAUCUCAAGUAUAUUUAUGAGAGAUCCUCCAGGAUUUUGCUGAGAAUUCUUUUAAUAUUUCCCCGGGAAUCUUGCAAUUCCAUUAAGAAUUCUUCCAGGAGUUUUCCCAAUAGUUGUCCUCUAUUCCGCUAAUUCUUCAGAAACCUCUUCAAGCGUUCCACGGAAAUUCCUCCAGAAUUUUAUAGCGAAUUUUUUCCAGUAGUUUCGUUGGAAUCCCUCCAUAGACUCUCCAGGAAUUUUACGGAAAUUUCUCCAAGAGUUCCACAAGAAUUCCUCCAGCAUUUAUGUGAGACUCUCUCCAAGAUUUUUUUCGAAAUUUUCACUAAUUUCUCCAUAUUGGCACUGAACCUUCCCUCCAGGAAUUUUCUGGAAAUUCAUCAUUUUUAUGGACAUUCCACCGAGAUUUCUCUUAGUAUUCUCCGAGGAGUUUCACAGAAAUUCUUCCAAUAUUUGCCUGAGAGUUUAACUAGGAUUUUCCCGACGAUGAUUUAAGAAGUUCUCCGGGAAAUUCUUUCGGCAAUUCCCAAGAAAUUAAUUCAAGAGUUUCUUGGAAUCCCUUCCAGAAGGUACCCGUGAAUUUUCUUCAAUAAUUUUCCGGGAAUCCCUGCAGUAGUUAGUUCUUCAGGAGCUCGUUCAACAGUUCCGCGGAAGUUCAUUCACAUCAGAUGAUCCCAAUAAAUUAUCUCAGGGAAUUCGCUGGAAUUCAUCCAUGGGUUUUUUCGAGGGUUCUUUAGAAAUAUUACAAGGAGUUCCAUGAGAAUUCCUAUAGAGGAUUACCAAUAAUUCAUUAAGAAUUUGUGGUAGAAUUCCUCCAGAAUUUUCUUGAAAGUGUAUCCAUGAAUUCUCUCGAAAUUUCCCCAUAGUUAUUCAGGAAAUUUCUAAUAGUAUUUCCCCAAAACCUGAGGCAUUUAUGUAAAAUCCCUCCAAUAUAUCGCUAGUAUAUCUCCCAAAAAUUCCCCUAGGAAUUCCAGAAAAAAUUCUCUAAGUUUCUCGAGAAUUCCUUUUAGAGUUCCUCUAGAAUUCCUCCAGGAAAUCCUCGGGUAUUCCUUCAGAAGUUCUCUAGGAGUUCCUCGGAUAUUCUUACAGGAGUUCCUCGGGUAUUCAUCCAUGAGUUCCUCGAGAAUUCCUUUAGGAGCUCCUUGGGGAUUCCUCCAGGAGCUCCUCGGGGAUUCCUCCUAAAGUUCCUCGGGCAUUCCUCCAGGAAUUUCUCGGCAAUUUCUCCAAAAGUUUAUCGGGGAUUUCGCCAGAAGUUUCUCUGGAAUUCCUCCAGGAGUUUCCCGGAAAUAUCUCCAGGAGUUCCUCGGAUAUUCCUCCAUUAUUUCCUCGGGAAUUCUUCCAAGGAGUUCCUAGCGAAUUCCUCCAGGAGUUCCUCGGAAAUUCCCAUGGAAAUUCCUUCAAGAGUUCUUUUGAAAUUACUCCAGGAGAGCCUCGGGAAUUCCUCCAGGAGUUCAUCGGGUAUUCUUCCAGAAGUUCAUCGGGAAUUCCUCCUGGAGUUACUCAGAAAUUUCUCCUGGCUGUCCUCUGAAUUCCUCCGGGAGUUCCUCCAGCAGUUCCAAAUUACUCCAGGAGUUCCUCGGAAAUUCCUCUGGGAGUUUCCUAGAAAUAUCUCCAGGAGGUCUGCGGAUAUUCCUUCACCAGUUCCUCGCGAAUUCCUCCUGGAGUUCCUCGAAAAUUCCUCCUGGAAUUUCUCGGGAAUCCUUCCACGAGUUUCUCAGAAAUUCCUCCAGGAGUUUUGGGGAAUAUCAUCAGAAGUACCUCGAGAAUUCCUCCAGGAGUUCCCCGGAAAUAUCUGCAGGAGUUCUUCGCGAAUAUCUCCAGAAGUUCCUCGAAAAUUCGUUCAGGAUUUCCUCAGAAAUUCCUCCAGGAGUUUCUUGGAAAUUUCUCCGAGAGUUCCUCAGAAAUUUCUUUGGAAUUUCCUCUUGCUCUUCCUCGGGAAUUCAUCCAGGAGUUUCUCGGGAAUUACUUCAGGAUUUCCUCGGCAAUUCCUCCUGGAGUUCCUCGGGAAUUCUUCCUGAAGUUGCUCGGAAAUUCUUCCUGAAGUUCCUCGGGAAUUCCUCCUGAAGUUUCUUGGGAAUUCCUCCUGGAGUUUCUCAGGAAUUGCUCCAGGAGUUUCUCGGGAAUUCCUCCAAGAGUUCCUCGGGAAUUCUCCAGAAGCUCCCUAUAAAUAUCUGCAGCAGUUCUUCGGGAAUAUCUCCAGAAGUUCGUUGGGAAUUCUUCCUGGAGCUCCUUGAAUAUUUCUCCGGGAGCUCUUCAGGAAUUUCUCAAGAAUUUCCUCGAGUAUUUAUCCAGGAGUUCCUAGGAAUUUUUCAUCAAUAAUUCCUCUGAAAUUCCUCCAGGAGUUCUUCGGGAGUUGCUUCAGGAGUUCCUCAGGAAUUGCUCCAAAAGCUCCUCGAGGAUUCCUCUAGGGAAUGUCCCCAGAAGUUCUUCGUGAAUUCCUCCUGGAGUUCCUUGAAAAUUUCGCCGGGAGCUCUUAUGGAAUUUCUCAAGAAUUUUCUCUGAAAUUUCUAUUUUUCCCCAGGAGUUCCUCGGGAAUUCCUCCAGGAGUUACUUGGAAAUUUCUCCGGGAGCUCCUCAGAAAUUUCUUUGGAAUUUCUUCAUGCUCUUCCUCGGGAAUGCAUCCAGGAGUUUCUCGAGAAUUACUUCAGGAUUUCCUCGGCAAUUCCUCCUGGAGUUCCUCGGGAAUUCUUCCUGAAGUUCCUUGGGAAAUCCUCCUGGAGUUCCACGGGAAUUCCAUCAGUUCCAAGUUGCACCCAGAGUUUCUCUGAAAUUCCUCUAAGAAUUCCUUCUGAAGUUCCUCGGGAAUUUCUCCUGGUGUUCCUCUGAAUUCCUCCAGGAGUUCCUCAGAAAUUCUUUCAUCAGUUCCAAGUUGCUCCCAGAGUUCCUCUCAAAUUCCUCUAGGAGUUCUUCGGGAAUUCCUUCUGGAGUUCCUCGGGAAUUGCUUCAGGAGUUCCUCAGGAAUUACUCCAGUUCCAUUCCAUCAGCUCCCAGGUGCACCCAGAGUUCCUCUGAAAUUUCUCUAGGAGUUCCUCGGAAAUUCCUUCUGAAGUCCUCAAGAAAUUAUCCUGGUGUUACUCUGAAUUCCUCCAGGAGUUCCUUAAAAAUUCUUCCAUCAGUUCCAAGUUGCUCUCAGAGUUCCUCUGGAAUUCCUCCUGAAAUUCCUCGGAAAUUGCUUCAGGAGUUCCUCAGGAAUUGCUCCAGAAGCUCCUCGAGCAUUCCUCUAGGGAUUCGUCGGAAAUUCUCUAGGAGCUCCCCAGAAAUAUCUGCAGCAGUUCUUCUGGAAUAUCUCCGGAAGUUCCACGUCAAUUCUUUCUGGAGUUCCUUGAAAAUUUUUCCGGGAGCUUAUCAGGAAUUUCUCAAGAAGUUCCUCGAGGAUUCAUCCAGGAGUUCCUACGAUUUUUUCAUCAAGAGUUCCUCUGGUAUUCCUCCAGGAGUUCCUCGGAAAAUCCUCAUGAAGUUCCUCGGAAAUUCCUCGAGGAGUUCCUCGGUAAUUCUUCCUGAAGUUCUCCGAGUAUUCCUCAAGGAGUUCCUACAAGAGUUUCUCGGAAAUUCCUUCUGGAGUUCCUCGGGGAUUCUUUCAAAAGUUCCUCGGGAAUUUCUCCUGAAGUUCUUCGGAAAUUCCUCCAAAAGCUCUUCUGAAAUUCCUCCAAGAGUUUCUCGGGAAUUCCUUCAGAAGUUCCUCGGAAAUCCAACCAGAAGUUCCUCAGCAAUUCCUCAGCAGUUCCUUAGAAAUAUCUCCAGAAGUUCUUCGGGAAUUUCUUCAGAAGCCCUUUGGAAAUUCCUCAUGGAGUGCCUCUGAAUUGCUGCAGAAGUUCUUCGGGAAUUGCUUCAGGAGCUCCUCGGGGAUUCCUCCUGAAGUUCCUCAGAAAUUCCUUCAGGAGUUUUUUGGGAAUUUCUUCAGAAGUUCCUCUGAAUUUCCUCUAGGAGUUUCUCUGGAAUUGGGUUCUUUGAGGGGUCCAGAUUAUUUCACAAUCAGAUUCUCCGCCCAAAAAUUAGUCGAAAUCCAAAAUUUCUUAAUUUUUGGAGUUUGGGAACUGUUUUUAAAAUGCAUUUAAAGUUUGUAUGGGAACAUUUUUUGUUCGGGUUGAACUGUCAUUUUAUCGAUAGAGCUGUCAUUCUAUUCACGAAAAUUAAAACUGUUUUGUUAAUUAAGCCAUCAAAACAAUGGUAUUGAAAUCCAAUAAAAUCACGUUAUACUCAGAAAAGUGAGCUCUUUCGGUAAGGCUAUAAUCAAUAGCAGUAUUUUAUUCACUAAACAACCCAAUUCCUCAAAGAGUUCGUUGGAAAUUCUUCCAGGAGUUCCUCGGGAAUUGCUCCAGAAGCUGCUCGGGGAUUCCUCGGAAAUUCUCCAGGAACUCCCCAGAAAUAUCUGCAGGAGUUCUUCGGGAAUAUCUCCAGAAGUUCCGCGUUAAUUCCUUCUGAAGUUCCUUGAAAAAAUUUCCGGGAAGUUCUCAGGAAUUUCUCAAGAAUUACCUCGAGGAUUUAUCCAGGAGUUCCUAGGAAUUUUUCAUCAAGAGUUCCUCUGGUAUUCCUCCAGGACUUCCUCAGAAACUCCUCCAGGAGUUUCUCGGAAAUUGCUUCAGGAGUUCCUCGGAAAUUUUUCGAGAAUUUCCUCGAAGAUUUAUCCAGGAAUUCCUUGGAAUUUUUCACCAAGAGUUCCUCUUCCUGAGGUUCUCCGAGAAUUCCUCAAGAAGUUCCUAAAAGAGUUUCUCGGGAUUCCUCCUGGAGUUCCUCGGGAAUUUCUCCAAGAGUUCCUCGAGAAUUCCUCAAGGAGUUCCUUGGGAAUUCUUCCAGAAGUUCUUCGGGAAUUCCUCCUGAAGUUCUUCGGGAAUUCCUCCAAAAGCUCUUCUAAAAUCCCUCCAAGAAUUCCCAUCAGUUCCCCGGGAAUAUCUUCAGAAAUUCCUCGGGAAUUUCUUCAGAAGUCCCUUGGAAAUUCCUCCUGUAGUUCCUUUAAACAGCUGCAGGAGUUCUUCGGGAAUUGCUCCUGGAGCUCCUCGGGGAUUCCUCCUGAAGUUCCUUGAAAAUUCCUCUAAGAAUUUCUUGAAAAUUCCUUCAGUAGUUCCUUAGGAAUUUCUUCAGAAGUUCCUCUGAAUUUCCUUUAGGAGUUUCUCUGGAAUUCUUCAAAGAGUUCUUCGGGAAUCGCUUCAGGAGUUUCUCAGGAAUUACUCCAAAAGCUGCUCGGGGAUUCCCCGGAAAUUCUGCUCCCUAGAAAUAUCUGCAGGAAUUCUUCGAGAAUAUCUCCAGUAGUUCCUCGUGAAUUUCAUCAGGUGUUCCUUGAAAAUUUCUCCGGGAGGUUCUCAGGAAUUUCUCAAGAAUUUCCUCGAAGAUUUAUCCAGGAGUUCCUUGGAUUUUUUCACCAAGAGUUCCUCUUCCUGAUGUUCUCCGAGAAUUCCUCAAGGAGUUCCUAAAAGAGUUUCUCAGGAUUCCUCCUGGAGUUCCUCGGGAAUUUUUCCAAGAGUUCCUCGAGAAUUCCUCAAGGAGUUCCUUGGGAAUUCUUCCAGAAGUUCUUCGGGAAUUCCUCCUGAAGUUCUUCGGGAAUUCCUCCAAAAGCUCUUCUGAAAUCCCUCCAAGAAUUCCUCGGAAAUUCAACCAGAAGUUCCCCAGCAAUUCCUCCAUCAGUUCCCCGGGAAUAUCUUCAGAGAUUCCUCGGGAAUUUCUUCAGAAGUCCCUUGGAAGUUCCUCCUGUAGUUCCUUUGAACAGCUGCAGGAGUUCUUCGGGAAUUGCUCCAGGAGCUUCUCGGGGACUCCUCCUGAAGUUCCUUGGAAAUUCCUCUACGAAUUUCUUGAAAAUUCCUUCAGAAGUUCCUCUGAGUUCCUCUAGGAGUUUCUCUGGAAUUCUUCAAAGAGUUCCUCGGGAAUCGCUUCAGGAGUUUCUCAGGAAUUACUCCAAAAGCUGCUCGGGGAUUCCUCGGAAAUUCUCCAGGAGCUCCCCAGAAAUAUCUGCAGGAAUUCUUUGAGAAUAUCUCCAGUAGUUUCUCGUGAAUUUCAUCAGGAGUUCCUUGAAAAUUUCUCCGGGAGAUUCUCAGGAAUUUCUCAAGAAUUUCCUCGAAGAUUUAUCCAGGAGUUCCUUGGAUUUUUUCACCAAGAGUUCCUUUGAAAUUACUCCAGGAAUUCCUUGGAAAUUCCUCCUGAAGCUCCUCUGAAUUCCACCAGGAGUUCCCCAGGAAUCCCUCAAGCAGUUCCUCAGGAAUAUCUCCAGAAGUUCCUAGGGAAUUGCCCAAGGAAUCCCUCGGAAAUUCCUCUUGGAGUUCCUCGGGAGUUGCUGCAGGGAUUCCUCGGGAAUUGCUCCAGCAGCUCCUCGAGGAUUCUUCCAGGAAUUCCUCGGCAAUUCCUCCAAGAAUUUCUUAAAAAUUCCUUCAGGAGUUCCACGGGAAUUUCUUUAGCAGUUCCUCGAAAUUUCCUCCAGGAGUUCUCAGGAAACAUCAUCAGGAGUUCCUUGGGAUUUCCUUCAGGAGUAGAAUUUUCCUCGGAAUUGCUACAGGAGUUCCCCGGAAAUUGCGACAGAAGUUCCUCGGUAAUUGCUCCAGAAGUUCCUCUGGUAUUACUCCAGGAGAUCCUCGAGAAUUGUUCCAGCAGUUCUGUGAGAAUUGCUUGAGGAGUUCCUUGGGAAUACCUUCAGGAGUUCCUCAGUAAUUGCUCCAGAGGUUUCUUUGGAACCUCCUGGAUGAAUUUCCGUGGAACUCCUGGAGGAAUUCCCGAGGAGCACCUGAAGGAAUUGUAGUGAACCUGCGGGAGAAAUUCAUGGGGAACUCCUGGAGGAAUAUCCUUGAAACUCCUAGAUGAAUUACCGGGGAACUCCUGAGAAUACUGCCGUGGAAUUCCCAAGAAAAACUGGAUGCAUUUCCGAGGAGCUACUGGAGGAUUUUCCGAGGAGCAACUUGUGGAGGAACUCCUGGGGAUAUUCUCGAGGAACUCUUGACACUUUCGUCUCGGUUGAAAUCCGAAGUUUCCCCACACGCGACAAUCGAGUUUUCUCCAAAUCCUAACCUAACGUCGGACGUAGUGCGCUGGGCAGCGGUCCGGGCCUCCAUCCAGCGCGCUUUGCCGACGCACGGUUUAAGAGAAACAUCGAUUUCCGCGUGUCAAAAAUUCCGAUUUUCAACUGCACGAACGAUAGAAUUCCCGAGGAACUCCUGAAGGAAUUCCCUAAAAACUCCUUGAGGAAUUUCCAUGGAACUUCUGGAGCUCCUGAAGGAUUUCCAGUGGAACUGCUAGAGAAGUUCCCGAGGAAUACCUGAAGAAAUUCUCGAGGUACUUCUGGAGGAAUUCCCGAGAAACUGUUGGAAGAACUCCCGAGACACUCCUGGAGAAAUUCUUGUGGAACUCCUGCAAGACUUUACACGAAAUUUCUGAAGGAAUCCCAGAGAAGCAUCUGCAGCAAUUCCCGAAGAACUCCUGCAGAUAUUUCCGGGAAAGGAAUAACCUUAGAACUCCAUGAAUAAUCUUUGAGUAACUCCUGGACGAAUUCCUGGGAAGCUCUUGGAGGAAUUCCCGGGAAACUCCUGGAGAAAUUACCGAGGAAUCCCUGGAGAAAUUCCCGAGGAACUCCUGAGAAAUUUCCCGGGAAACUUCUGAAGGUGUAUCCUUUAAACUUCUGGUUGAAUUAACGGGGCACUCCUAGAAAUACUACGAAGGAGGACCUGGAGGUAUUCCCGAGGGACUCUCGAGCAACUCCUGGAGGAAUUCCCAAGGAACUCUUGAAAGAAUUCCCGAGGAACUCCGGCAGGACUUCCCGAAGAACUCCUUGAGGUAUUCCCAAAGACCGCCCACAGAAAUUCCUGGAGAAACUCCUGCAUAAAUAUCCGAGGAAGGAAUAACCUUGGAAUUCUUGGAUGAAUCAGCGUAGAGCUCUGGAAAGAGCUUCUGGAAAAAUAGGACCAAUCGGUUAAGUACUAGAUUUGUAGUAAUGAGCUAAAUUUUUGUAUGGUGAGAAGGUAAAUUCUCCGGCUCUGCAAUGAAAUGGCACAAAAAGUGUGGAUAUUAUGAUUCCUUGCCUAAUUUGAUGUUGUUUGAGCACAUUAAGCAACUACUGGCACAAUUGAUUUCCAAAACAGGCACCGAGAUUACACUAGGAAAACAUCUUACUCUUGCUUUGACUAAUUUCUACAAAAUUAGUUAUUUAAUCCAAAUUUAAUCAAACAAUUAUGAAUGCUAAUGAUUAUUAUCCAGUAUUUGUAUAUUUCAGAAUGACGACGUCGCUGUUUUCAAGCAGUACUUUAUGCACCGCUGCCGUCAGAAUUGUCUUCCAGCUAUUUUGUGCCCGCAGAACCAGCUUGAAUUAUAUAUUAUAUAAUAAUGAUUCUUAUCGAUUCUUAUAAGUAAAUUAAAUUUAAUAAAAAAAAAAAUCAACGUAACAAAUAAAAUGUUCCUGUA